UAGAACCCCACGUACUCCAAGCCUUAGAAAACUAUCGAAUCCUAUCUCAAUCAAAAUCGGAUCUGGCUCAUAAUUUCAAAUUGGGUUUGGCCAUAUUUUCUACAAGGAGCUAUGUAUGGAGAGUAUUGGAGAUUUAGAAGGAAUCGAUUUUGGUGAUACUUGGAGACGAAAAUCUCUGAGGCUUUUGCUGCUGAGAUUCACAAAGGUUAUUUCCUACAAAUUCAAGGUUAUUCUUAAUGGAUAAGAGUUGGAUAAAUAU
Long non-coding RNA from Nicotiana attenuata, 259 nucleotides. RefSeq lists it as uncharacterized. The record is from RefSeq and is a predicted model, not a curated record. Lineage: Eukaryota; Viridiplantae; Streptophyta; Magnoliopsida; Solanales; Solanaceae. The transcript has 3 exons.